Molecule: ribosomal RNA, 60 nt
Filed under: Candidatus Liptonbacteria bacterium RIFCSPHIGHO2_01_FULL_56_18b
Lineage: Bacteria; Candidatus Liptoniibacteriota
Description: partial 16S ribosomal RNA
Source: RNAcentral
AUUUUUUCAGAGGAUUUGAUCCUGGUCCAGGAUGAACGCUGGCGGCGUGGAUAAGGCAUG